This 90-nucleotide ribosomal RNA is filed under the name salal root associated fungus UBCtra1317C. RNAcentral describes it as "partial 5.8S ribosomal RNA". It matches the Rfam family "5.8S ribosomal RNA", at positions 67 to 154 of the family's 154-position model. Rfam says of the family: 5.8S ribosomal RNA (5.8S rRNA) is a component of the large subunit of the eukaryotic ribosome. It is transcribed by RNA polymerase I as part of the 45S precursor that also contains 18S and 28S rRNA. Functionally, it is thought that 5.8S rRNA may be involved in ribosome translocation. RNAcentral also lists the same sequence under 1 other name. The record is from RNAcentral. Lineage: Eukaryota; Fungi; Ascomycota.
GUGAAUUGCAGAAUUCAGUGAAUCAUCGAAUCUUUGAACGCACAUUGCGCCCCUUGGUAUUCCGAGGGGCAUGCCUGUUCGAGCGUCAUU